This 253-nucleotide ribosomal RNA is filed under the name uncultured bacterium. Its description in RNAcentral is "partial 16S ribosomal RNA". It matches the Rfam family "Bacterial small subunit ribosomal RNA", at positions 524 to 776 of the family's 1533-position model. The record is from RNAcentral.
UACGAAGGGGGCUAGCGUUGCUCGGAAUGACUGGGCGUAAAGCGCGCGCAGGCGGCUAUCCAAGUCAGUGGUGAAAGCCCGGAGCUCAACUCCGGAACUGCCAUUGAAACUGUUUAGCUUGAGGAUGAGAGAGGUGAGUGGAAUUCCCAGUGUAGAGGUGAAAUUCGUAGAUAUUGGGAAGAACACCGGUGGCGAAGGCGGCUCACUGGCUCAUUACUGACGCUCAGGCGCGAUAGCGUGGGGAUCAAACAGG